UCCACGUUUCUUUAAAAUCUACGGACACCACAUAUAUUUCUUCUUCUCUUUGCUCUUUAGAACUUUAAAGAACAAUUGCUAUGUUUUCCAGUUGUCCUCACUUGACAAUUGACAUAGAAUACACAUUGAGAUCUUGUUCAAAUGAUAAUUUUUUUUUUCUGUUAACAACAAUUUGUCAGGCAUCUUUGUUUUCUGAUUUUCUCAACUAUUUUGGUGUUAGACAAGAAGAGUUUGGGGCGGAAAUUGGAGCUCCCCGACAAUAAUGGUGAACUUUUUCAGGGAAACAUCCAACUCAACCCUAAUCUGAAGGGCUGGCCAAAAUUACUUGCUUCAAAUUUUCCUUGAAGAAUUGCCACUACUUGCUCCUGCCACCAUCAUUACAGGUUACAGCGUUGUAUUCUGGCAUGAAAUAGUAUUGAUACACGCGAGCUGUUACUUGUAACUUGCAAUCAGUCUGAGAAAUUCAAUGAUCCAAGAAUCUUGUGUAUAUUACUAAAUUUCUAUUUUUAUUUAUAUUUUUCCAAUUUUAAGUUGUUCCGCUUGAGAUUCAACAGCUAAAAUCAAUUGUACUAAUGUAUCUGUUUUUAAUUUGUUGGGCCGGUGUCAGCACGGGCAUAUUGUGUCUAGUAUAACAAUAAAUGUGAUUAAUAAUUUUUAAUAUGAUACACGCA
Molecule: long non-coding RNA, 671 nt
Organism: Solanum pennellii
Lineage: Eukaryota; Viridiplantae; Streptophyta; Magnoliopsida; Solanales; Solanaceae
Exons: 3
Source: RefSeq, a predicted model, not a curated record